UACGUAGGUGGCAAGCGUUGUCCGGAAUCACUGGGCGUAAAGCGUACGCAGACGGCUUGGUAGGUCGGAUGUGAAAGCCCCGGGCUCAACCCGGGAAUUGCAUCCGAAACCACCUCGCUCGAGUGUGGGAGAGGGAAGCGGAAUUCCUGGUGUAGAGGUGAAAUUCGUAGAUAUCAGGAGGAACACCGGCGGCGAAGGCGGCUUCCUGGCCCAUUACUGACGUUCAGGUACGAAAGCGUGGGUAGCAAACAGG
RNAcentral lists this ribosomal RNA (253 nucleotides) under uncultured bacterium. RNAcentral's name for it is "partial 16S ribosomal RNA". It matches the Rfam family "Bacterial small subunit ribosomal RNA", at positions 524 to 776 of the family's 1533-position model. The record is from RNAcentral.